RNAcentral lists this ribosomal RNA (442 nucleotides) under uncultured bacterium. Its description in RNAcentral is "partial 16S ribosomal RNA". It matches the Rfam family "Bacterial small subunit ribosomal RNA", at positions 338 to 795 of the family's 1533-position model. The record is from RNAcentral.
CCUACGGGAGGCAGCAGUGGGGAAUAUUGGGCAAUGGGCGCAAGCCUGACCCAGCAACGCCGCGUGAAGGAAGAAGGCUUUCGGGUUGUAAACUUCUUUUAAGAGGGAAGAGCAGAAGACGGUACCUCUUGAAUAAGCCACGGCUAACUACGUGCCAGCAGCCGCGGUAAUACGUAGGUGGCAAGCGUUGUCCGGAUUUACUGGGUGUAAAGGGCGUGUAGCCGGGCUGACAAGUCAGAUGUGAAAUUCCGGGGCUCAACCCCGGACCUGCAUUUGAAACUGUUGGUCUUGAGUAUCGGAGAGGCAGGCGGAAUUCCUAGUGUAGCGGUGAAAUGCGUAGAUAUUAGGAGGAACACCAGUGGCGAAGGCAGUUCACUGGACUGCAACUGACACUGAGGCUCGAAAGUGUGGGUAUCAAACAGGAUUAGAUACCCUAGUAGUC